Molecule: ribosomal RNA, 253 nt
Filed under: uncultured bacterium
Lineage: Bacteria
Description: partial 16S ribosomal RNA
Rfam family: Bacterial small subunit ribosomal RNA
Source: RNAcentral
UACGUAGGGUGCGAGCGUUAAUCGGAAUUACUGGGCGUAAAGCGUGCGCAGGCGGUUUUGUAAGACAGAUGUGAAAUCCCCGGGUUCAACCUGGGAACUGCAUUUGUGACUGCAUGGCUAGAGUACGGUAGAGGGGGAUGGAAUUCCGCGUGUAGCAGUGAAAUGCGUAGAUAUGAGGAGGAACACCGAUGGCGAAGGCAAUCCCCUGGACCUGUACUGACGCUCAUGCACGAAAGCGUGGGGAGCAAACAGG